UUAAGCGACUAAGCGUACACGGUGGAUGCCCUGGCAGUCAGAGGCGAUGAAGGACGUGCUAAUCUGCGAAAAGCGUCGGUAAGGUGAUAUGAACCGUUACAGCCGGCGAUGUCCGAAUGGGGAAACCCAGUGCAAUUCGUUGCACUAUCGUUAACUGAAUACAUAGGUUAACGAGGCGAACCGGGGGAACUGAAACAUCUAAGUACCCCGAGGAAAAGAAAUCAACCGAGAUUCCCCCAGUAGCGGCGAGCGAACGGGGAGCAGCCCAGAGUCUGAAUCAGCUUGUGUGUUAGUGGAACGGUCUGGAAAGUCCGACGGUACAGGGUGAUAGUCCCGUACACCAAAAUGCACAGGCUGUGAACUCGAAGAGUAGGGCGGGACACGUGGUAUCCUGUCUGAAUAUGGGGGGACCAUCCUCCAAGGCUAAAUACUCCUGACUGACCGAUAGUGAACCAGUACCGUGAGGGAAAGGCGAAAAGAACCCCGGCGAGGGGAGUGAAAAAGAACCUGAAACCGUGUACGUACAAGCAGUGGGAGCACCUUCGGGUGUGACUGCGUACCUUUUGUAUAAUGGGUCAGCGACUUAUAUUCUGUAGCAAGGUUAACCGUAUAGGGGAGCCGCAGGGAAACCGAGUCUUAACUGGGCGUUAAGUUGCAGGGUAUAGACCCGAAACCCGGUGAUCUAGCCAUGGGCAGGUUGAAGGUUGGGUAACACUAACUGGAGGACCGAACCGACUAAUGUUGAAAAAUUAGCGGAUGACUUGUGGCUGGGGGUGAAAGGCCAAUCAAACCGGGAGAUAGCUGGUUCUCCCCGAAAGCUAUUUAGGUAGCGCCUCGUGAACUCAUCUUCGGGGGUAGAGCACUGUUUCGGCUAGGGGGUCAUCCCGACUUACCAACCCGAUGCAAACUACGAAUACCGAAGAAUGUUAUCACGGGAGACACACGGCGGGUGCUAACGUCCGUCGUGAAGAGGGAAACAACCCAGACCGCCAGCUAAGGUCCCAAAGUCAUGGUUAAGUGGGAAACGAUGUGGGAAGGCACAGACAGCCAGGAUGUUGGCUUAGAAGCAGCCAUCAUUUAAAGAAAGCGUAAUAGCUCACUGGUCGAGUCGGCCUGCGCGGAAGAUGUAACGGGGCUAAACCAUGCACCGAAGCUGCGGCAGCGACACUAUGUGUUGUUGGGUAGGGGAGCGUUCUGUAAGCCUGCGAAGGUGUGCUGUGAGGCAUGCUGGAGGUAUCAGAAGUGCGAAUGCUGACAUAAGUAACGAUAAAGCGGGUGAAAAGCCCGCUCGCCGGAAGACCAAGGGUUCCUGUCCAACGUUAAUCGGGGCAGGGUGAGUCGACCCCUAAGGCGAGGCCGAAAGGCGUAGUCGAUGGGAAACAGGUUAAUAUUCCUGUACUUGGUGUUACUGCGAAGGGGGGACGGAGAAGGCUAUGUUAGCCGGGCGACGGUUGUCCCGGUUUAAGCAUGUAGGCUGGUUAUCCAGGCAAAUCCGGAUAAUCAAGGCUGAGGUGUGAUGACGAGGCACUACGGUGCUGAAGUAACAAAUGCCCUGCUUCCAGGAAAAGCCUCUAAGCAUCAGGUAACAUCAAAUCGUACCCCAAACCGACACAGGUGGUCAGGUAGAGAAUACCAAGGCGCUUGAGAGAACUCGGGUGAAGGAACUAGGCAAAAUGGUGCCGUAACUUCGGGAGAAGGCACGCUGGUGUGUAGGUGAAGUCCCUGCGGAUGGAGCUGAGACCAGUCGAAGAUACCAGCUGGCUGCAACUGUUUAUUAAAAACACAGCACUGUGCAAACACGAAAGUGGACGUAUACGGUGUGACGCCUGCCCGGUGCCGGAAGGUUAAUUGAUGGGGUUAUCCGUAAGGAGAAGCUCUUGAUCGAAGCCCCGGUAAACGGCGGCCGUAACUAUAACGGUCCUAAGGUAGCGAAAUUCCUUGUCGGGUAAGUUCCGACCUGCACGAAUGGCGUAAUGAUGGCCAGGCUGUCUCCACCCGAGACUCAGUGAAAUUGAACUCGCUGUGAAGAUGCAGUGUACCCGCGGCAAGACGGAAAGACCCCGUGAACCUUUACUAUAGCUUGACACUGAACAUUGAGCCUUGAUGUGUAGGAUAGGUGGGAGGCUUUGAAGCGUGGACGCCAGUCUGCGUGGAGCCAACCUUGAAAUACCACCCUUUAAUGUUUGAUGUUCUAACGUUGGCCCCUGACCGGGGUUGCGGACAGUGUCUGGUGGGUAGUUUGACUGGGGCGGUCUCCUCCCAAAGCGUAACGGAGGAGCACGAAGGUUAGCUAAUCCUGGUCGGACAUCAGGAGGUUAGUGCAAUGGCAUAAGCUAGCUUGACUGCGAGCGUGACGGCGCGAGCAGGUGCGAAAGCAGGUCAUAGUGAUCCGGUGGUUCUGAAUGGAAGGGCCAUCGCUCAACGGAUAAAAGGUACUCCGGGGAUAACAGGCUGAUACCGCCCAAGAGUUCAUAUCGACGGCGGUGUUUGGCACCUCGAUGUCGGCUCAUCACAUCCUGGGGCUGAAGUAGGUCCCAAGGGUAUGGCUGUUCGCCAUUUAAAGUGGUACGCGAGCUGGGUUUAGAACGUCGUGAGACAGUUCGGUCCCUAUCUGCCGUGGUCGCUGGAGAAUUGAGGGGGGCUGCUCCUAGUACGAGAGGACCGGAGUGGACGCAUCACUGGUGUUCGGGUUGUCAUGCCAAUGGCACUGCCCGGUAGCUAAAUGCGGAAGAGAUAAGUGCUGAAAGCAUCUAAGCACGAAACUUGCCCCGAGAUGAGUUCUCCCUGAGACUUUAAGUCUCCUGAAGGAACGUUAAAGACGAUGACGUUGAUAGGCCGGGUGUGUAAGCGCAGCGAUGCGUUGAGCUAACCGGUACUAAUGAACCGUGAGGCUUAACCUU
Molecule: ribosomal RNA, 2900 nt
Filed under: Klebsiella pneumoniae
Lineage: Bacteria; Pseudomonadati; Pseudomonadota; Gammaproteobacteria; Enterobacterales; Enterobacteriaceae
Description: 23S ribosomal RNA
Rfam family: Bacterial large subunit ribosomal RNA
Source: RNAcentral